AAACCUCUGGUGUAUCUGUUGUGGCGCCAGCUGCAUUGCAGAGUAGCCACGUUUGGCCAAGAUAAGCGCUGAAAGCAUCUAAGCGCGAAGCUUUCCUCAAGAUGAGAUUUCCUUUAAGGGUCGUCAGAGACUAUGACGUUGAUAGGUUGCAAGUGUAAAGGCAGUAAUGUCAAAGCUGAGCAAUACUAAUUACCCGAAUGCUUCUUUUG
Molecule: ribosomal RNA, 209 nt
Filed under: Bacteroidales bacterium
Lineage: Bacteria; Pseudomonadati; Bacteroidota; Bacteroidia; Bacteroidales
Description: partial 23S ribosomal RNA
Rfam family: Bacterial large subunit ribosomal RNA
Source: RNAcentral